This 253-nucleotide ribosomal RNA is filed under the name uncultured bacterium. Its description in RNAcentral is "partial 16S ribosomal RNA". It matches the Rfam family "Bacterial small subunit ribosomal RNA", at positions 524 to 776 of the family's 1533-position model. The record is from RNAcentral.
UACAGAGGAUGCAAGCGUUAUCCGGAAUGAUUGGGCGUAAAGAGCUCGUAGGCGGUCAGUCGCGUCUGCUGUGAAAACUCGGGGCUUAACUCCGGGCCUGCAGUGGGUACGGGCUGACUAGAGUGCGGUAGGGGAGACUGGAAUUCCUGGUGUAGCGGUGAAAUGCGCAGAUAUCAGGAGGAACACCGGUGGCGAAGGCGGGUCUCUGGGCCGUAACUGACGCUGAGGAGCGAAAGCGUGGGGAGCGAACAGG